GUUUGAUCCUGGCUCAGAUUGAACGCUGGCGGGAUGCUUUACACAUGCAAGUCGAACGGCAGCACGGACUUCGGUCUGGUGGCGAGUGGCGAACGGGUGAGUAAUGUAUCGGAACGUGCCUAGUAGCGGGGGAUAACUACGCGAAAGCGUAGCUAAUGCCACGCCACGCCGCUAAGGGGAAAGCGGGGGACCUUCGGGCCUCGCACUGUCUGACCGGCCGAUAUCGGAUUAGCUAGUUGGUGGGGUAACGGCUCACCAAGGCGACGAUCCGUAGCUGGUUUGAGGACGACCAGCCACACUGGGACUGAGACACGGCCCAGACUCCUACGGGGAGGCAGCGGUGGGGGAAUUUUGGACAAUGGGGAAACCCUGAUCCAGCCAUCCCGCGUGUGCGAUGAAGGCCUUCGGGUUGUAAAGCACUUUUGGCAGGAAAGAAGCGGCACGGGAUAAUACCCCGUGCAACUGACUGACACCUGCAGAAUAAACACUUGCUGUACCUGUGCACACCGGCCCCAACUACGUGCCAGCAGCGCGUGUACGUAGGGUGCAAGCGUUAAUCAGGUUACUGGGCGUAAAGCGUGCGAGCGGUUCGGAAAGAAGAUGUGAAAUCCCAGAGCUUAACUUUGGAACUGCAUUUUUAACUACGACUAGAGUGUGUCAGAGGGAGGUGGAAUUCCAUAAUAACAGUGAUGCGUAGAUAUGCGGAGGAACACCGAUGGCGAAGGCAGCCUCUCGUGAAUGCUACUGACGCUCAUGCACAAAGCUGAUGAGGCAAACAGGGAUUAGAUACCCUGGUAGUCCACGCCUAAAUUAUCGCUAGCUGGUAUUUGGGGCCUUCGGGCCUUGGUAGCGCAGCUAACAUACGUGAAGUUGACCGCCUGGGAGAGUACGGUCGCAAGAUUAAAACUCAAGGAAUUGACGGGGACCGCACAAGCAUUGGAUGAUGUGGAUUAAUUCGAUGCAACGCGAAAACCUUACCUACCCUUGACAUGUCUGGAAUCCCCGAAGAGAUUUGGGUGCUCCAUAGAGAACCGGAACACAGGUGCUGCAUGAAGCAUCGUCAGCUCGUGUCGUGAGAUGUUGGGUUAAGUCCCGCAACGAGCGCAACCCUUGUCAUUAGUUGCUACGAAGAGGGCACUCUAAUGCGGAACUGCCGGUGACAAACCGGAGGAAGAAGGUGGGGAUGACGUCAAGUCCUCAUGGCCUUAUAGGCCAGGGCUUCACACGUCAUACAAUGGUCAGGACCGGUCGUAACCCGCGAGGGAGCCAAUCAGAAACUGAUCGUAGUCCGGAUCGCAGUCUGCAACUCGACUGCGUGAAGUCGGAAUCGCUAGUAAUCGCGGAUCAGCAUGUCGCGGUGAAUACGUUCCCGGGUCUUGUCCCACACCGCCCGUCACACCAGCGGGAAUUGGGUUUUACCAGUAGUUAGCCUAACCGUAAGGAGGCGAUUACCACGGUAGGAUUCAUGACUGGGGGUGAAGUCGUAACAAGGUAG
This 1495-nucleotide ribosomal RNA is filed under the name uncultured Bordetella sp. RNAcentral's name for it is "partial 16S-23S ribosomal RNA intergenic spacer". It matches the Rfam family "Bacterial small subunit ribosomal RNA". Lineage: Bacteria; Pseudomonadati; Pseudomonadota; Betaproteobacteria; Burkholderiales; Alcaligenaceae. The record is from RNAcentral.